This 87-nucleotide transfer RNA is filed under the name Candidatus Pantoea edessiphila. Its description in RNAcentral is "Pantoea sp. SoEL tRNA-Leu". It matches the Rfam family "tRNA". Rfam says of the family: Transfer RNA (tRNA) molecules are approximately 80 nucleotides in length. Lineage: Bacteria; Pseudomonadati; Pseudomonadota; Gammaproteobacteria; Enterobacterales; Erwiniaceae. The record is from RNAcentral.
GCCCAGGUGGUGAAAUUGGUAUACACAAGGGACUUAAAAUCCCUCGGCUUCAUUGCUAUGCGGGUUCAAAUCCCGCCCUGGGCACCA